UACGAAGGGGGCUAGCGUUGCUCGGAAUCACUGGGCGUAAAGCGCACGUAGGCGGACUCUUAAGUCAGGGGUGAAAUCCUGGAGCUCAACUCCAGAACUGCCUUUGAUACUGGGAGUCUUGAGUUCGGGAGAGGUGAGUGGAACUGCGAGUGUAGAGGUGAAAUUCGUAGAUAUUCGGAAGAACACCAGUGGCGAAGGCGACUUACUGGACGACUGUUGACGCUGAGGUGCGAAAGCGUGGGGAGCAAACAGG
This 253-nucleotide ribosomal RNA is filed under the name uncultured bacterium. RNAcentral describes it as "partial 16S ribosomal RNA". It matches the Rfam family "Bacterial small subunit ribosomal RNA", at positions 524 to 776 of the family's 1533-position model. The record is from RNAcentral.